Molecule: ribosomal RNA, 415 nt
Filed under: uncultured prokaryote
Description: bacterial SSU rRNA
Rfam family: Bacterial small subunit ribosomal RNA
Source: RNAcentral
GUGUCAGCCGCCGCGGUAAUACGGAGGGUGCGAGCGUUGCUCGGAAUUACUGGGCGUAAAGCGUGUGUAGGCGGCCAGGCAAGUCAGAUGUGAAAGCCCCCGGCUCCACCGGGGAAUUACAUCUGAUACUGCUUGGCUUGAGUACGGGAGAGGGAGGCGGAAUUCCCAGUGUAGAGGUGAAAUUCGUAGCGAUUGGGAGGAACACCAGUGGCGAAAGCGGCUUCCUGGACCGAUACUGACGCUGAGGCACGAAAGCGUGGGGAGCAAACAGGCUUAUAUACCCUGGUAUUCCACGCCGUAAACGAUGGGCACUAGGUAUGGGAGGUCUUUAUACUUUCCGUGCCGCAGCUAACGCGUUAAGUGCCCCGCCUGGGGAGUACGGCCGCAAGGCUGAAACUUAAAGGAAUUGACGGGG